RNAcentral lists this ribosomal RNA (871 nucleotides) under Orbilia caulicola. Its description in RNAcentral is "eukaryotic LSU rRNA". The stretch from base 461 to 871 matches the Rfam family "Eukaryotic large subunit ribosomal RNA", at positions 1 to 408 of the family's 3401-position model. The record is from RNAcentral. Lineage: Eukaryota; Fungi; Ascomycota; Orbiliomycetes; Orbiliales; Orbiliaceae.
AAAACUUUGCUUCGGUAGCAGGUUGGUUCAGGUUUUACCUGUUCCCAGUCGUUAGCCUGCCGGCAGCACCAAUUAAACUUGUUUUAAAAAACUAGUCUGAUAACCAUUAUUUUCGAAUGAAAAUUAAAACUUUCAACAACGGAUCUCUUGGUUCUCGCAUCGAUGAAGAACGCAGCGAAACGCGAUAGUUAAUGUGAAUUGCAGAAUUCAGUGAAUCAUCGAGUCUUUGAACGCACAUUGCGCCUUUUGGUAUUCCGAAAGGCAUGUCUGUUUGAGCGUCAUUUCAACACUCUAUCUGGCUUAAUUGUUGGUUAGGUUUUGAGCCAGGCCCAGCAAUGGACCGGUUUUAAAGUUGAACGCUCUGCGGGUGACUUAGCCUGACCGAACAUAGUAAAAUUUUGAAUUGUUCAUAAAGCAAAGUGAAACCCAGCCUGAACAAAACCCCAUAUUUCUUAGGUUUUGACCUCAGAUCAGACAAGGAUACCCGCUGAACUUAAGCAUAUCAAUAAGCGGAGGAAAAAGAACCCACCAGGGGAUUGCCUUAGUAACGGCGAGUGAAGCGGCAACAGCUCAAAUUUGAAAUCUGAGGUUUUUAAUUCCGAGUUGUAAUUUGAAGAGGAUGCUUCGGUUGUGGCCUGGGCCUAAGUUCCUUGGAACAGGACGUCGUAGAGGGUGAGAAUCCCGUACACGGCUACCGGCUUACUUCCAUGUGUAGCUCCUUCGAAGAGUCGAGUUGUUUGGGAAUGCAGCUCAAAAUGGGUGGUAAAUUUCAUCUAAAGCUAAAUACUGGCGAGAGACCGAUAGCGCACAAGUAGAGUGAUCGAAAGAUGAAAAGCACUUGAAAAGAGAGUUAAACAGUACGUGAAAUUGU